This 392-nucleotide unclassified non-coding RNA is filed under the name uncultured bacterium. RNAcentral describes it as "contains 16S-23S intergenic spacer region". The record is from RNAcentral.
UCCGGUUUGGCACCGGCAGUCCCCCCAGAGUCCCCGGCCGGCUGUUUGAAGGCCGCCGCUGGCAACUGGAGGCGGGGGUUGCGCUCGUUGCGGGACUUAACCCAACAUCUCACGACACGAGCUGACGACAGCCAUGCAGCACCUGUGCUGGGGCUCCGAAGAGGGGCCUACGUUUCUGUAGGCUUUCCCCAGCAUGUCAAGCCCGGGUAAGGUUCUUCGCGUUGCGUCGAAUUAAACCACAUGCUCCACCGCUUGUGCGGGCCCCCGUCAAUUCUUUUGAGUUUUAGCCUUGCGGCCGUACUCCCCAGGCGGAACACUUAUCGCGUUGGCUGCGGCACAGAGGGAUUCGACUCCCCCCACACCUAGUGUUCAUCGUUUACGGCUAGGACUAC